Molecule: ribosomal RNA, 1447 nt
Filed under: uncultured organism
Description: SSU rRNA
Rfam family: Bacterial small subunit ribosomal RNA
Source: RNAcentral
GAUGAACGCUAGCUACAGGCUUAACACAUGCAAGUCGAGGGGCAGCAUCAUCAAAGCUUGCUUUGAUGGAUGGCGACCGGCGCACGGGUGAGUAACACGUAUCCAACCUGCCGACAACACUGGGAUAGCCUUUCGAAAGAAAGAUUAAUACCGGAUGGCAUAGUUUUCCCGCAUGGGAUAAUUAUUAAAGAAUUUCGGUUGUCGAUGGGGAUGCGUUCCAUUAGGCAGUUGGCGGGGUAACGGCCCACCAAACCAACGAUGGAUAGGGGUUCUGAGAGGAAGGUCCCCCACAUUGGAACUGAGACACGGUCCAAACUCCUACGGGAGGCAGCAGUGAGGAAUAUUGGUCAAUGGACGAGAGUCUGAACCAGCCAAGUAGCGUGAAGGAUGACUGCCCUAUGGGUUGUAAACUUCUUUUAUACGGGAAUAAAGUGAGCCACGUGUGGCUUUUUGUAUGUACCGUAUGAAUAAGGAUCGGCUAACUCCGUGCCAGCAGCCGCGGUAAUACGGAGGAUCCGAGCGUUAUCCGGAUUUAUUGGGUUUAAAGGGAGCGUAGGCGGGUUGUUAAGUCAGUUGUGAAAGUUUGCGGCUCAACCGUAAAAUUGCAGUUGAUACUGGCGACCUUGAGUGCAACAGAGGUAGGCGGAAUUCGUGGUGUAGCGGUGAAAUGCUUAGAUAUCACGAAGAACUCCGAUUGCGAAGGCAGCUUACUGGACUGUAACUGACGCUGAUGCUCGAAAGUGUGGGUAUCAAACAGGAUUAGAUACCCUGGUAGUCCACACAGUAAACGAUGAAUACUCGCUGUUGGCGAUAUACGGUCAGCGGCCAAGCGAAAGCAUUAAGUAUUCCACCUGGGGAGUACGCCGGCAACGGUGAAACUCAAAGGAAUUGACGGGGGCCCGCACAAGCGGAGGAACAUGUGGUUUAAUUCGAUGAUACGCGAGGAACCUUACCCGGGCUUAAAUUGCAACUGACGGAACCGGAAACGGUUCUUUCUUCGGACAGUUGUGAAGGUGCUGCAUGGUUGUCGUCAGCUCGUGCCGUGAGGUGUCGGCUUAAGUGCCAUAACGAGCGCAACCCUUACGGGUAGUUACCAUCAGGUUAUGCUGGGGACUCUACCCGGACUGCCGUCGUAAGAUGUGAGGAAGGUGGGGAUGACGUCAAAUCAGCACGGCCCUUACGUCCGGGGCUACACACGUGUUACAAUGGGGGGUACAGAAGGCAGCUACACGGCGACGUGGUGCUAAUCCCAAAAGCCUCUCUCAGUUCGGAUUGGAGUCUGCAACCCGACUCCAUGAAGCUGGAUUCGCUAGUAAUCGCGCAUCAGCCACGGCGCGGUGAAUACGUUCCCGGGCCUUGUACACACCGCCCGUCAAGCCAUGAAAGCCGGGGGUACCUGAAGUACGUAACCGCGAGGAGCGUCCUAGGGUAAAACUGGUGAUUGGGG